AAUGAACGCUGGCGGCAUGCCUAACACAUGCAAGUCGAACGAAGGCUUCGGCCUUAGUGGCGCACGGGUGCGUAACGCGUGGGAAUCUACCCUCAGGUUCGGAAUAACAGCGAGAAAUUGCUGCUAAUACCGGAUGAUAUCGCGAGAUCAAAGAUUUAUCGCCUGAGGAUGAGCCCGCGUAGGAUUAGCUAGUUGGUGUGGUAAAGGCGCACCAAGGCGACGAUCCUUAGCUGGUCUGAGGGGAUGAUCAGCCACACUGGGACUGAGACAGGGCCCAGACUCCUACGGGAGGCAGCAGUGGGGAAUAUUGGACAAUGGGCGAAAGCCUGAUCCAGCAAUGCCGCGUGAGUGAUGAAGGCCUUAGGGUUGUAAAGCUCUUUUACCCGGGAUGAUAAUGACAGUACCGGGAGAAUAAGCUCCGGCUAACUCCGUGCCAGCAGCCGCCGUAA
This 449-nucleotide ribosomal RNA is filed under the name uncultured bacterium. Its description in RNAcentral is "partial 16S ribosomal RNA". It matches the Rfam family "Bacterial small subunit ribosomal RNA", at positions 29 to 523 of the family's 1533-position model. The record is from RNAcentral.